Hylaeus anthracinus is the source of this 718-nucleotide long non-coding RNA. RefSeq lists it as uncharacterized. The record is from RefSeq and is a predicted model, not a curated record. Lineage: Eukaryota; Metazoa; Arthropoda; Insecta; Hymenoptera; Colletidae. The transcript has 5 exons.
UCGUCGAAGACAGAAGUGCGUAGCGUGUUGUGGUCUUUGCUAAUAAAAAUAGUGAACAUGUAUUCCUAGUUCGGGGACAGCGAGCGAGUGGUUUCGUUGAAAGAAAUUUAAAAGUGCUGAAACAAAAGAUUGGUUGAGUUACGGGAAUAUAUAUUCAUUUUGCACUUACGAUGAUGACACGGUCGAGAUUUAUGAAGUCGUAGCAGCUACUGCAGGAAACGAAAUUCAUCGCUAACCUUCAACGUCACCUCGUUUCCAAACCAGCAAUAUAGAUACACCUGCAUGAGCAUAGAGCCCAGCACAGCACGAUCGAGCUUAUGUAGAACUGGAGGAAAAUCAUGUACUGAAAUAUCUUGUUGACAACUCUUGCGAGUUUGUAAUCAAUGCAUAAUGAUAUCAGCAAUUAUGCUCGGACAAGACUGAAUCUUAACGAUUAGGUGAUACCGGACCAAGUCCCCAAGAAUUCUCAUUCUUCUGUUCCUCAAGUCUUGCAUGGACGUGCAGAUCCUCUCCGCCUCUAGAAGAGCAGAGGGCAAAUUUCGCGCUCGAUGACAGAAAAUUUCAAACUGUGAGCAAACUUGAAUCAUCAGUCCAGAGAUCAGCGUCUCGUUGGCCACGCUGGUGUUCGCGCAGACCAUCAGAGUCAACGGAUGCGAACACUGCGGCUAACUCGUUCAGGAUCUCGCACCAUACCGUCAGGUUUCUGCGAAGGACCAAG